UGAGCAGUCUUUACUUGAUCACAGUAGAUUUUGUAACAAGAAAACAGGUUGAUGAUAUUUAACUUUCAUCAUCAAGUUCUGAGGUUUGUGUUUUUCUCCAAUUAAUUAUUCUUUUAGAUUGAACAUGUCUAUACUCGUCACAUGCUCAGAGACAUAUCUUGCCAUGAAAAGAAUCUGGACUUGAGGCUGGAUCUGUGCACCAAAAGAACUGUAACUACUUUUACUGAUGAUGACUUGGAAAGCCUCAAAUUUUUGAUAAAUUCUGCUAGAUGUUAGGCACCGAAUAAAAGAGAGUUUGAACAAGUUCCCUCGAAGGACUAGUACACCAUCUGGGGUUCACAGUCAAGCACAACAAGCUGAAGAACAGCUACAACAUCAACAACAAUAGCAUCAUCC
Humulus lupulus (European hop) is the source of this 396-nucleotide long non-coding RNA. RefSeq lists it as uncharacterized. Lineage: Eukaryota; Viridiplantae; Streptophyta; Magnoliopsida; Rosales; Cannabaceae. The transcript has 3 exons. The record is from RefSeq and is a predicted model, not a curated record.